Molecule: ribosomal RNA, 253 nt
Filed under: uncultured bacterium
Lineage: Bacteria
Description: partial 16S ribosomal RNA
Rfam family: Bacterial small subunit ribosomal RNA
Source: RNAcentral
UACAGAGGGGGCAAGCGUUGUCCGGAAUUACUGGGCGUACAGCGCGCGCAGGCGGUUGCCGACGUGCCGUGUGACAAACGGGGGCUCAACCCCCGAGGGCCACGGUAAACGGGGCGACUGGAGGUAGGGAGAGGGAUGUGGAAUGCCCGGUGGAGCGGUGAAAUGCGUAGAGAUCGGGCGGAACACCAGCGGCGAAGGCGGAUCUCUGGGCCUUACCUGACGCUCAGGCGCGAAAGCUAGGGGAGCGAACUGG